Tannerella forsythia 92A2 is the source of this 375-nucleotide non-coding RNA. It matches the Rfam family "Bacterial RNase P class A". From Rfam's summary of the family: Ribonuclease P (RNase P) is a ubiquitous endoribonuclease, found in archaea, bacteria and eukarya as well as chloroplasts and mitochondria. Its best characterised activity is the generation of mature 5'-ends of tRNAs by cleaving the 5'-leader elements of precursor-tRNAs. Cellular RNase Ps are ribonucleoproteins. The record is from Rfam. NCBI's taxonomy places the organism in Bacteria, Pseudomonadati, Bacteroidota, Bacteroidia, Bacteroidales, Tannerellaceae.
GCAGCAGACCGGUCUGUCGCUUAUUCUUUUGGGGAUGAGAGGAAAGUCCGGGCAACACAGGGCGCCAUCCUUCCUAACGGGAAGCUGUCUGCGAGGGCAGAGUAACGUAGCAGAAAAGAACCGCCGCGCCGUAAGGCGAGGUAAGGGUGAAAAGGUGAGGUAAGAGCUUACCGCUCCCGUCGGAAUACGGGAGGUCCGUACGUCUGAUGGGUUGUAAGGUCAUGUAUACCGACGAUAGAGGGCGGCUCGUCCGAUGUCGGGGGGUAGACCGCAAAGAGUUUGCCGGCGACGGUAAGCCAAGAUAAAUGACAGACGCUUCGUCUUUCUUUUCGGGGUGACGGAGUACAGAACCCGGCUUACAGGUCGGCUGCCUUU